This 292-nucleotide ribosomal RNA is filed under the name uncultured microorganism. Its description in RNAcentral is "partial 16S ribosomal RNA". It matches the Rfam family "Bacterial small subunit ribosomal RNA", at positions 505 to 796 of the family's 1533-position model. The record is from RNAcentral.
GUGCCAGCAGCCGCGGUAAUACGGAGGGGGCUAGCGUUGUUCGGAAUUACUGGGCGUAAAGCGCACGUAGGCGGACUGGAAAGUCAGGGGUGAAAUCCCGGGGCUCAACCCCGGAACUGCCUUUGAAACUAUCAGUCUAGAGGUCGAGAUAGGUGAGUGGAAUUCCGAGUGUAGAGGUGAAAUUCGUAGAUAUUCGGAGGAACACCAGUGGCGAAGGCGGCUCACUGGCUCGAUACUGACGCUGAGGUGCGAAAGCGUGGGGAGCAAACAGGAUUAGAUACCCGGGUAGUCC